UCUUUCUGUUUCUCUUUCUCUCUCUCUCCAUCUUCUAUUCUCUCUACCCUCCUCCCAAAAUAAACUUUCCACGUGGAUGGUGUGCCUGUAUGGUGUGAGUGACUUUCCACUGUCAUACCACCCACUGCUGCAUCUGUGUGGUGCGUCGCCCUCACCUGUGGGGCACCUUGGCCCAACUGCCAAGACCUCCUGCAUGCUGUAUCAUUACAAAAAACCUGCCUGCCUAGACUAUACUUCGGGUAAUAAGGGUCAAGACUUGGGAGACAGCCAGGAAGGCAAAAGGCAGAUAAACACCCAGACCAGCUGAAGAUAUGGUGGUUGGGGGAUGGUCCGCCCUGGCUCACCUAGCCUUUCCCUCUGCUAGGAGCUAGGCCCCUGAACUUUAAAAUCAAGUGGGUUUGUCAGUUGUCAAGUGGCUAGUCGUUGUUGAUUUAUCUUAGAAGUUCUUGGCCCAAGGGGUUCUACUUGGUACCUGUUUAAAAGUAUAGAGAUGUUUCUUCACAAACAGGAGGGUAGAGAUAUAAUUAGAUAGUCUCGGGUAGCCUGAAAGAAACUGUCUUGUCAGCAGGUAGAUGAUGUUGACUCCUGCUUGAAUGCACUCCUGGCUAGCUGUCCGCCUUUCCCUCUGAAUGCACACCUGCUUUGAUCUCUCAGUUAUUUCCAGCAGGAGACACCAAAGCCAAGACCUGCUGUGCCUUCUGCCUACUCCACAGCUGGAAAUGGAGCCCUCAUCUAGCCUCUGUCAUUGGAAAUUCAGUCCCUCAUCGGAUGACAAGAGCAAUUGCAAGAGACCAUGGGGCCAAGGAAGACUUGCUCUUCUGACACGAGCCAUCAAGCUUUAGGACGCUUCUGUAGCUCCAAGAAUACGUGGACCAGGCAGAUUUUUUUUUAAAAAAAUUCAAAUAAAUCUUC
Long non-coding RNA from Onychomys torridus (southern grasshopper mouse), 912 nucleotides. RefSeq lists it as uncharacterized. The record is from RefSeq and is a predicted model, not a curated record. The transcript has 3 exons. NCBI's taxonomy places the organism in Eukaryota, Metazoa, Chordata, Mammalia, Rodentia, Cricetidae.